Molecule: ribosomal RNA, 468 nt
Filed under: uncultured bacterium
Lineage: Bacteria
Description: partial 16S ribosomal RNA
Rfam family: Bacterial small subunit ribosomal RNA
Source: RNAcentral
GACGAACGCUGGCGGCGUGCUUAACACAUGCAAGUCGAACGGAAAGGCCCUGCUUUUGUGGGGUGCUCGAGUGGCGAACGGGUGAGUAACACGUGAGUAACCUGCCCUUGACUUUGGGAUAACUUCAGGUAACUGGGGCUAAUACCGGAUAGGAGCUCCUGCAGCAUGGUGGGGGGUGGAAAGUUUCGGCGGGUGGGGAUGGACGCGCGGCUUAUCAGCUUGUUGGUGGGGUAGUGGCUUACCAAGGCUUUGACGGGUAGCCAGCCUGAGAGGGUGACCGGCGUCAAUGGGACUGAGAGACGGACCAGAGUCCUACGGGAGGCAGCAGUGGGGAGUAUGGCACAAUGGGCGGAAGCCUGAUGAAGCAACGCCGCGUGCGGGAUGACGGCCUUCGGGUUGUAAACCGCUUUCGCCUGUGACGAAGCGUGUGUGACGGUAAUGGGUAAAGAAGCACCGGCUAACUACGUG